CUCCCACACCACAUAGCCUUCAGAUAUGUUUAAAUACAAGAACUCCUUUUACCUGAGGAUAUUGUUGCUUCUCAUUCUCUAGAUGAAAAGCACGGGUCUGCACUGUGCAGCAGGAAAAAACAUGUCAGAGUCUGGUGGGCUGCCAGGAGCCAUGAAAUCUGUGAGCCUGUGUGCAGGAGUAUCAAAGAAUCUCAGGGAAACAACUGAGAAAGGAAAGGAAGCUAUGGUGAUUAUUGCAUGAGUUAGAAACAUGUAACCACAGGCUUUCCA
This 270-nucleotide long non-coding RNA is filed under the name Anser brachyrhynchus (Pink-footed goose). RNAcentral describes it as "lncRNA (ENSABRG00000018521.1)". The record is from RNAcentral. Lineage: Eukaryota; Metazoa; Chordata; Aves; Anseriformes; Anatidae.